GCUCCUGUAGUCUAACUUGGACAGAACGCAGGCCUGCGGAGCCUGAUAUCUGGAUUCAAAUUCCAGCAGGGGCA
Molecule: transfer RNA, 74 nt
Filed under: Candidatus Parvarchaeum acidophilus ARMAN-5
Lineage: Archaea; Nanobdellati; Candidatus Parvarchaeota
Rfam family: tRNA
About the family: Transfer RNA (tRNA) molecules are approximately 80 nucleotides in length. Their secondary structure includes four short double-helical elements and three loops (D, anti-codon, and T loops).
Source: Rfam by way of RNAcentral